GAUGAACGCUGGCGGCGUGCCUAAUACAUGCAAGUCGAGCGAACAGAUCAGGAGCUUGCUCCUUUGACGUUAUCGGCGGACGGGUGAGUUACACGUGGAUAACCUACCUAUCAGACUGGGAUAACUUCGGGAAACCGGAGCUAAUACCGGAUAACAUAUUGAACCGCAUGGUUCAAUAGUGAAAGGCGGCUUUGCUGUCACUUAUAGAUUGAUCCGCGCCGUAUUAGCUAGUUGGUAAGGUAACGGCUUACCAAGGCAACGAUACGUAGCCGACCUGAGAGGGUGAUCGGACACACUGGAACUGAGACACGGUCCAGACUCCUACGGGAGGCAGCAGUAGGGAAUCUUACGCAAUGGGCGAAAGCCUGACGGAGCAACGCCGCGUGAGUGAUGAAGGUCUACGGAUCGUAAAACGAUGUUAUCAGGGAAGAACAAAUGUGUAAGUAACUGUGCACAUCUUGACGGUACCGGAUCAGAAAGCCACGGCUAACUACGUG
This 497-nucleotide ribosomal RNA is filed under the name uncultured bacterium. Its description in RNAcentral is "partial 16S ribosomal RNA". It matches the Rfam family "Bacterial small subunit ribosomal RNA", at positions 28 to 507 of the family's 1533-position model. The record is from RNAcentral.